This 854-nucleotide unclassified non-coding RNA is filed under the name Entoloma philocistus. RNAcentral describes it as "sequence contains ITS1, 5.8S rRNA gene and ITS2". The stretch from base 192 to 345 matches the Rfam family "5.8S ribosomal RNA". Lineage: Eukaryota; Fungi; Basidiomycota; Agaricomycetes; Agaricales; Entolomataceae. The record is from RNAcentral.
UUUUUUUUUUAAAAAAAACCACCUGUGCACACACUGUAGAUCUGGAUUGAACUUUUUCGAGGAUUAUUAACUCGGUUUUGAGAAUUGCUUUGGCUGUUCUUGUGUUCUCCAGGUCUAUGUUUUAAACAAUAUACUCCAACAAGUAAUAGAAUGUCAAAUUAUGGGCCUUUUGUGCCUUUAAAAUCUAAUACAACUUUCAACAACGGAUCUCUUGGCUCUCGCAUCGAUGAAGAACGCAGCGAAAUGCGAUAAGUAAUGUGAAUUGCAGAAUUCAGUGAAUCAUCGAAUCUUUGAACGCACCUUGCACUCCUUGGUAUUCCGAGGAGUAUGCCUGUUUGAGUGUCAUAAAAUUCUCAACCUUUCCGGCUUUUAUUGAGCUGGUCAGAAUUGGACUAUGGGAGUUGCUGGCUUCUUUUGAAGAUCAGCUCUUCUUAAAUGCAUUAGCGAAAUUCUUGGCUUGAUUAUCUUUGGUAUGAUACAUUAUCUACACCAUUGUAAUGUAGCCUUUCCACUUUUCAAGGUUUUCAGGCUCCACUUGGAGAUUAUGUUUUCAAGUGUUCGAAUCAACCGUUCUGAAGCACCCGCUUUAUGCACGGAUGUUAAUUCAUCUGAUGGUGUUGAAUAUUUCAGGUUGACGAAGCGAAAGCGUUCUUUGGAGCGCUCACGAGAGCAAGCAGUAUCAAUGUGUUAAUGAUGCAUUGAUAUGUGCACUGUCAUAUUCCUGUACCUACCCUAGUCACUAUGUGGCUUUGAUGGGUCUGGUCAAACCAUGACCUGAACAUGUCCUUAUCAGUGGAAGGAUUUUUUGCUUCUAAUAUACAUUGUUUCUUAUGGAAUGAUGCUCUUUUUGACAA